GGAAUUUUGGACAAUGGGCGCAAGCCUGAUCCAGCAAUGCCGCGUGAGUGAAGAAGGCCUUCGGGUUGUAAAGCUCUUUUGUCAGGGAAGAAACGGUUCCGGCUAAUAUCUGGAGCUAAUGACGGUACCUGAAGAAUAAGCACCGGCUAACUACGUGCCAGCAGCCGCGGUAAUACGUAGGGUGCAAGCGUUAAUCGGAAUUACUGGGCGUAAAGCGUGCGCAGGCGGUUUUGUAAGUCUGUCGUGAAAGCCCCGGGCUCAACCUGGGAAUUGCGAUGGAGACUGCAAGGCUUGAAUCUGGCAGAGGGGGGUAGAAUUCCACGUGUAGCAGUGAAAUGCGUAGAGAUGUGGAGGAACACCGAUGGCGAAGGCAGCCCCCUGGGUCAAGAUUGACGCUCAUGCACGAAAGCGUGGGGAGCAAACA
Molecule: ribosomal RNA, 424 nt
Filed under: uncultured bacterium
Lineage: Bacteria
Description: bacterial SSU rRNA
Rfam family: Bacterial small subunit ribosomal RNA
Source: RNAcentral